AAAGGAAUAGACGGGGGCCCGCACAAGCGGUGGAGCAUGUGGUUUAAUUCGAGGCAACGCGAAGAACCUUACCCAGACUUGACAUCCCAGGACCGCCUAUGAAAGUAGGUUUUCCCUUCGGGGACCUGGAGACAGGUGUUGCAUGGCUGUCGUCAGCUCGUGUCGUGAGAUGUUGGGUUAAGUCCCGCAACGAGCGCAACCCUUGUCCUUAGUUACCAGCGGGUUAUGCCGGGCACUCUGAGGAGACUGCCGAUGAUAAGUCGGAGGAAGGUGGGGACGACGUCAAGUCAUCACGGCCCUUACGUCUGGGGCUACACACGUGCUACAAUGGUCGGUACAGAGGGACGCAAGAUCGCGAGAUGGAGCCAAUCCCAAAAAGCCGGCCUCAGUUCGGAUUGCAGUCUGCAACUCGACUGCAUGAAGUCGGAAUCGCUAGUAAUCGUGGGUCAGCUACACCACGGUGAAUACGUUCCCGGGCCUUGUACACACCGCCCGU
This 496-nucleotide ribosomal RNA is filed under the name uncultured bacterium. RNAcentral describes it as "bacterial SSU rRNA". It matches the Rfam family "Bacterial small subunit ribosomal RNA", at positions 903 to 1397 of the family's 1533-position model. The record is from RNAcentral.